UACGAAGUUACUGAAAGAUGUUGG
Molecule: non-coding RNA, 24 nt
Filed under: Drosophila melanogaster (fruit fly)
Lineage: Eukaryota; Metazoa; Arthropoda; Insecta; Diptera; Drosophilidae
Source: RNAcentral